Molecule: ribosomal RNA, 134 nt
Filed under: uncultured eukaryote
Lineage: Eukaryota
Description: partial 18S ribosomal RNA
Rfam family: Eukaryotic small subunit ribosomal RNA
Source: RNAcentral
UGGUGGAGUGAUUUGUCUGGUUAAUUCCGUUAACGAACGAGACCUCAACCUACUAACUAGUACCCGUAACAAACGGGUGUUACUUCUUAGAGGGACAAUGUGUUGUAAACACAUGGAAGUUUGAGGCAAUAACA